This is a long non-coding RNA of Rhea pennata, 835 nucleotides long. RefSeq lists it as uncharacterized. The record is from RefSeq and is a predicted model, not a curated record. Lineage: Eukaryota; Metazoa; Chordata; Aves; Rheiformes; Rheidae. The transcript has 4 exons.
UUAAACACACAUGCAAAAAGUCUGUGGUAGAAGGUUGCUACAGGCUGGAACUGCAAGAUUAUUCUUCUUUUCUUUAGGCUCGCUGGUAUCCUGCAGCAGAUCUUCUUGGAUUUAUUGACAAACCUGCUCAAAUGGUGCUGGACUAUAACCGAAGAGAUGAAAUUGCAACAAAACCACUUAAAUACUUAUCAAAGAAAUAGACCUGCUUAUUAAAAGGAUAAUAUUUCCUGGCACCUAGACAAAAUACACAAAGCUGAAUCUUGAGGCCUUCCUCAGUCAAACUUCUGUGGGAAUGCGGCUGUGUGAGGACUGCAGGAGCAAGCCUUAGAAUAAGAGCCACUCAAAAUGAAAGCAUUAGAUUCAAGGUAUUUUCCUUCUGCCUGAAGAAAUGAGGGUAGAAGAUCCUGGCAAUAAACACCUCUCACACUGAAAAGUGAGAGGCUCUGAGGAAAAGGUGCCAGAAGGUGCUUCAUCUUCAAAGCGCCUUGAAAACAUUUGUUAUCUGAACAUCUGCAGGAUUGGAUGUCCUUCUACUGCUCAAAGUCUCUCCCACUACUGCACGGGGUAAUCUGAUGUCUUAAAUGAUUCCAGCACAACUUUACCAGAUGCCAGACUCCUGCGGACGAUGAUUUUGCUUCAGCUUUAACCUUAUUUCCUAUUGGCUCAAAGGUUUACAGAACAUUUUUAAGCGUUCUUGUCUGUGAAUUCAAGUGUGCUUUAGCAAAAUAAUUUAAUUCUGUAUGACACAAAAAUGGAAUUGUAUUCUUUCACAGCUGAGCUUUCUGGAUACAUAUUACUUGGUAACCUUAAUCUCAGAACCAUGUAAAAAUCAAGU